AUGAGAUGUCCUCAGUAUAAUCAGAAUGGUGGGAACACAAGGAAAUGUCCUUGUGCUACUUCAGUAUAAUCAGAAUAAUGGAAACACAAGGCAAUAUCCUUGUGCUGCUUUUGCGCUCAAGGACGAAGCACGGCAUGUUUUCAAGAAAGCCCAUUGUUGCUUGUAUAAUCAAUAAAAGCAUAUGUUGCUGCUUUGGCAUUUCUGGAAUGUUAAGAAAACAAGUCUUAAAAUGUAAACAUAGAUAAUGCUUAAAUAAAAGCUACCACAGCAGGACAGACAGCGCUGUUUUGCCUGAGCGAGAGGCAGCCCUCUACUGCUGUGUUUCGGCACAGUUCAUCUCGUGUGAUGAGCUUGCUUUCGGAAACCCUGUCAUAAGAAAAACUGCAACAUUUGGCGCCCGAACAGGGACCUGAAAGUCUUUUGUCUAGGUAUGCUUCUGAAAACAUAUUAAUUCCUCAGGAUUGGGAGGCACUUGCCAAGACUGUUCUUGAACCUGGACAAUAUAUGCAGUUUAAGACUUGAUGGGAAGAAGAAGGCGCCUCCAUUGACCUGGUGGCAAGUGAAAAAGUUUACAGACACUACCAAAAAUCUUAUCAUUUCACAGGGUAAACCCCUCAAUAGCACCAGUCUUUUUGAGGCCAUGCUGGCAGUGUUGUCUGCACAGUCCGACGACGAGUGAAAGCUACCCGCCAUGCAACCCCGCAACAAGCUGCUGUGUUCUCCUUGAUGCUGCACAAGCUGGAAAACAAAAAGGGAGAAAUGUAGUGGAAUAACUGAGGACAUGGAAAGGAGACGUGACCCAUGAGCCCCACCCACCCAGCAAACUGGGGGCUGGCGAAUAAGCCAGAACUGGAAACAGUCCUGAUUGCUUUGAGCCCCCUCGGCAAACUGGGGGCAUUCAAAUAAGCCAGAACUGCAAACAGUCCUGGAUGCUUUGAGCCUCCCCCCCACCCCCGGCAAACCGGGGGCCUGCGAAUAAGCAUUGAGUGUUUUGGGCACUGAUCCAUGAGAUGUCCUCAGUAUAAUCAGAAUGGUGGGAACACAAGGAAAUGUCCUUGUGCUACUUCAGUAUAAUCAGAAUAAUGGAAACACAAGGCAAUGUCCUUGUGCUGCUUUUGGGCUCAAGGACGAAGCACGGCAUGUUUUCAAGAAAGCCCAUUGUUGCUUGUAUAAUCAAUAAAAGCAUAUGUUGCUGCUUUGGCAUUUCUGGAAUGUUAAGAAAACAAGUCUUAAAAUGUAAACAUAGAUAAUGCUUAAAUAAAAGCUACCACAGCAGGACAGACUGUGCUGUAU
Lagenorhynchus albirostris (white-beaked dolphin) is the source of this 1293-nucleotide long non-coding RNA. RefSeq lists it as uncharacterized. The record is from RefSeq and is a predicted model, not a curated record. The transcript is spliced from 3 exons. Lineage: Eukaryota; Metazoa; Chordata; Mammalia; Artiodactyla; Delphinidae.